AUUGAACGCUGGCGGAAUGCUUUACACAUGCAAGUCGAACGGCAGCACGGACUUCGGUCUGGUGGCGAGUGGCGAACGGGUGAGUAAUGUAUCGGAACGUGCCCAGUCGUGGGGGAUAACGUAGUGAAAAUUACGCUAAUACCGCAUACGAUCUAUGGAUGAAAGCGGGGGAUCGCAAGACCUCGCGCGAUUGGAGCGGCCGAUAUCAGAUUAGGUAGUUGGUGGGGUAAAGGCCCACCAAGCCAACGAUCUGUAGCUGGUCUGAGAGGACGACCAGCCACACUGGAACGGAGACACGGUCCAGACUCCUACGGGAGGCAGCAGUGGGGAAUUUUGGACCAUGGGCGAAAGCCUGAUCCAGCCAUUCCGCGUGCAGGACGAAGGCCCUCGGGUUGUAAACUGCUUUUGUACAGAACGAAAAGGUUUCUACUAAUACUAGGAGCUCAUGACGGUACUGUAAGAAUAAGCACCGGCUAACUACGUGCCAGCCGCCGCAGUAA
Molecule: ribosomal RNA, 500 nt
Filed under: uncultured bacterium
Lineage: Bacteria
Description: partial 16S ribosomal RNA
Rfam family: Bacterial small subunit ribosomal RNA
Source: RNAcentral